Hippocampus comes (tiger tail seahorse) is the source of this 1945-nucleotide long non-coding RNA. RefSeq lists it as uncharacterized. Lineage: Eukaryota; Metazoa; Chordata; Actinopteri; Syngnathiformes; Syngnathidae. The transcript is spliced from 3 exons. The record is from RefSeq and is a predicted model, not a curated record.
CCUUUACUGGAUUUUUUUUUUUUUUUUUAGCGAUAAUGGACAUGUUGACUGAGGACACAAAACACGAUACACUAAUUAAUGCACCAUUACUGGGUCCAAGGGUGGGUAAGAGGGUGUGACUACAUUUGAGUGAGGAAGAAUACAAUUUAAAUAUACAGUUAUUGUGUGUGUGUGUGAGAAAGAGAGAGAGAGAGAGAGAGAGAGAGAGAGAGAGAGAGAGAGAGAGAGAGAGAGAGAGAGAGUCUAUUGAACAACUGUUGGUACUGCAAUCUCCCCUCAUUCACCCUCUCUCUCUCUCUUUAUAGAUCUCCUGUCUGCUUUCUCUUUCCCUCAUAUGUCCCCGCAUCGUGUCUUAUCAGUCUUUCUCCUCCUCUUUUGCAUCCAUCCUCCCGCCCUUGUCCAUCUCUACCUCCGCAUCCCUUUCUCUCCGCUCCAUCACUCUCUUAUGCCUCAUCACACCGCAUGCUCUCCAUUUCUCUCUCUCUCUCUCUCUCUCUCUCGUUCCCCCUCUGAACACGUCUGCCCUCCGCUCUCCCGUCGGCCCCGCCGGCUCCUCACUUCAUUUGCCGCGGUGAGAAACGACAAGCUUCCUUUCCUUGAAUGGACCCGAGAAGGGAAGCUGGAAGAGUGGUCGGAGAAGUGCAGCGGGAGGAGGCGGAAGAGGAGAGCUUUUGUUUGCCAUCCCUCCUCGGCAGCAUCAGUACCAAUUCGUCCAGCGCCGCAUCCUACUGUUUCCUACUGGGAUCAACCUCCUCCUUCUUUUCAGGGAGCUCUUCCUACAACUGGGAGGGGGAGGGAGAUCACCACCUCCCAGUUUGCCACGGACCCUCAGGAAGGCAUCAGGCUGAAAGAGCGCAAGAAGGGGAGGGAAUUUUAGAGGUGCGCCAGGAGAGGCAACACCCUGGGCUUCAGAAAAAGGAAGAAAAGCGGCCCCAGUUCUCAUUAUGACAGGGCCGAGCUACAGUGGAAACGACAGUGGCCAAGAACCCCAAAAGUCACCAAUGGAAGCUGAUUUGGUUGUAGUUGAGAGGAGCCAUUGAUGGAACUUUGCCUCACACUGCAGUGAGGUGUCUUCAAUCAAUGCAACCGCCACCUUUUCGCAAUCUGUUUAUGUGUCUGUUUGCCACUGGAGCAUGAAGAAGGUUCUGCCGAUGGCAACAGUGAUGGCCAUGGUGGUGGGGAGGAUGAUGCAAUGGCAGUGGAACUGCUCACAUGGUUUCUGGUUAGCCUCCUGUGUAUGUUGAAAGACUCUCUUCGGUGACGGGUAUUCUUGGGUGGAUAAUACGGAUCACGUUGUUAUUGCUUAAGAAUACGCGUAGUCGAGGAGAGUCCUCUCUUCGCCCAACACCCGACACCCACCCACCCACUUCACCUCACCGCACCUCACCCCAACACCCUACCCAUCCAGGGGGAGGACAAUUAGUUUGGGUGGCUGUUCCUUGAACUUGAAAUCAUUGCAAUUUUUUGCUUUCCCUGCCUUCAUGCAUCUGUCUUUUUGGUGGUGGGCAGAAUUGUGUCCGUUUUCCUUUCUGUGUGUUUGUCUGCUGUGUUGCUUGGUAGGUUGUUUGCUGAAAGAGAUAGCUUGACUUGAGCACAGGGUCAGUAUGUACUGCAGUAAGGAAAAGGGCUGAUUUUAUUUAAUAUGACAUCAAUAUGGCAUUUGAGUCAGCCUUUGUUUUCCUGAGAUGACCAACCUAGUAGAACACCCAACUUUCCAACCGGUUCCAUCGAUCGGUGCUGUACUGUGAAAAUACAUAUCUUAUAAAUUUCAUACAAGAAAAAGAAGAAUGUCGAUAACAACCCCACCCAAUUUAAAUGAUAAAAGAAAAAAAAAAUCACCGGCUCGGUUCCAAAAUCGUGGGCUUCGGCUUAGAAGUAGUUCGGCCUCACAGUGCAGAGGUGCAGGGUUCGAUUCCGGCUGGCUAUGGCCUUCCUAUGUGGAGUU